Molecule: ribosomal RNA, 253 nt
Filed under: uncultured bacterium
Lineage: Bacteria
Description: partial 16S ribosomal RNA
Rfam family: Bacterial small subunit ribosomal RNA
Source: RNAcentral
UACGGAGGGUGCAAACGUUGCUCGGAAUCAUUGGGCGUAAAGCGCACGUAGGCGGCGCGUUAAGUCGGAUGUGAAAGCCCCGGGCUCAACCCGGGAAGUGCAUACGAAACUGGCGCGCUUGAAUAUGGAAGAGGGUCGCGGAAUUCCCGGUGUAGAGGUGAAAUUCGUAGAUAUCGGGAGGAACGCCAGUGGCGAAGGCGGCGACCUGGGCCAAUAUUGACGCUGAGGUGCGAAAGCGUGGGGAGCAAACAGG